AGGCGAUCUACAGUUUCCAAAUCCUUCAAAAAAGUAAUGAUGAAUUUUGAAGUAUAAAUUCCAGAGGAAGUUGUUGUCUAGUCCUUUAACAAAGAUGAUAUUCAGUUGUCUGCCUGCAGACACCCAAGCAUGGCAUUACUGGUGAAAAGGUUUAGGACUCAUGAAGAACAAUCUCUACAGAUUAUGUGCUGUAGAGGCAGCUAUUAUAUUCAGUAAUAAUGAUCUUAAUGUUUGAUUAAGAUAUAGAAGUAUUUAUUGUAAUUUGCUGAUUGAAACUUACGUAAGACAGCUUAAGUCAUGUUUUUAAUAAAAAAAAAUUUGCAGUGA
Long non-coding RNA from Macrobrachium nipponense, 327 nucleotides. RefSeq lists it as uncharacterized. Lineage: Eukaryota; Metazoa; Arthropoda; Malacostraca; Decapoda; Palaemonidae. The transcript is spliced from 2 exons. The record is from RefSeq and is a predicted model, not a curated record.